Heterocephalus glaber (naked mole-rat) is the source of this 1249-nucleotide long non-coding RNA. RefSeq lists it as uncharacterized. The record is from RefSeq and is a predicted model, not a curated record. Lineage: Eukaryota; Metazoa; Chordata; Mammalia; Rodentia; Bathyergidae.
UGAGCGGCAGGAGGCUGCCGCGGUUGGAGGGGGUGACGCCGAUGGCCAUCUGCAGCACCGUCAGCUUCUUCCUGACUCUUUUGAUGUGCUUGUCUGAUAAUGCAAGCUAGAUUUACAUGUCAAGAACAUGACGGUGACUUCAGCCAAUUGCCGUGAAGAAUCAAGACCCCCACCUCAACAUCUUUCAAGGAAUGGAAUCUUGCCAACAAGCAUGAGAUCGAGCUUAAAAGUGGAUCCUUCUCCUACUGAACCUUCAGACGUGACCACAGCAUUGUGUGACACCUUGAUUGUGUUCCUGUAAGAAAUCCUGAGCUGGACAGCCCAGCUAAGCUGUAUCCUGAUGUCUCACCCACAGAAGCUGAGGUGGUCUUGUGAUGCAUGUGGCCAAUGAAAUGAUGGAAGAAGCACCUCUAGACAGGGGCUCCGGUAGGCUCUCUUCCCCUGCCACAGGGACUUUGGAGGCCAUGUGUUUAAAAGCAACAUCUCCAGCUGGAAAGACCGUGGCUACCUGAGUCCCAGAAUGAAGGAUCCACCUGCCAACCUGCCUUCCAAUGAGUAAGUGGUAAAUGUGCUGUUCUUCUACUGAGCUAUUGGGGUUUCUUUCUUUCUUUCUUUUGUCAAUUGUAACAUAUCUCAAUGGGAUAAAUAUUUGUUAGGUGCACAAGUCAUGUUAAAAAAUUCAAAACACUUCCAAGGGACACAAAGAAAGCUCAAACAAAUGGAAAUCUAUGCUUUUAGAAAGGGAGAUCCAUGACUAAAACAGUCUCAGUAGUGGAGAGUGUCAAUUAUAAAGAUGAUGCCAUCCCAGUUAGUAUCCAGAUACGAUUUUCUUUUUUCAGGGGAGAGUUAAACAAUCUCAUUCUAAAGUUAAAAUGGAAAGGAAAAUCCUGAAGAACAAUAAAGUUAAACUCUGAUCUCACACCUGACUCCAGGAUAAAGCCUAGUUAAUCACUUAUUUAAAUGUAAAAAAGAUACCAUAAAAUGUUAGAAUAAAUCAUGAUAAUUGUUUAGAAUCAAAUACUGGGGAGACCUUUCUUGACAUGACAUAAACCCUAUGAGGCUUGAAAGAGAUAGAUAGAUUGAUAGAUUCAAUUACCUAAAGAUAUAGGGAAAGUUACACAUAAAAGCCCUCUAUAUUUUUUCCCCAUUCACUGUCCUCCCUUCACCCCCUCCACCCUUCCCUAUUUACAAAGACUUUGUUUCCAUUUUUCCCUUUUCUCAUAAUUUUGCCUUUCCCUUAAAUUAAGAA